RNAcentral lists this ribosomal RNA (392 nucleotides) under uncultured bacterium. RNAcentral describes it as "bacterial SSU rRNA". It matches the Rfam family "Bacterial small subunit ribosomal RNA", at positions 30 to 416 of the family's 1533-position model. The record is from RNAcentral.
AGUGAACGCUGGCGGCAGGCCUAACACAUGCAAGUCGAACGGCAGCACAGCAGUAGCAAUACUGUGGGUGGCGAGUGGCGGACGGGUGAGGAAUACAUGGGAAUCUGCCCUGUCGUGGGGGAUAACGUAGGGAAACUUACGCUAAUACCGCAUACGACCGGAAGGUGAAAGCGGCGGACUCGCAAGAGCGUCGCGCGACUGGAUGAGCCCAUGUCGGAUAGCUAGUUGGCGGGGUAAAGGCCCACCAAGGCGACGAUCCGUAGCUGGUCUGAGAGGAUGAUCAGCCACACUGGAACUGAGACACGGUCCAGACUCCUACGGGAGGCAGCAGUGGGAAUAUUGGACAAUGGGCGCAAGCCUGAUCCAGCCAUGCCGCGUGAGUGAAGAAGGCC